RNAcentral lists this long non-coding RNA (562 nucleotides) under Vigna radiata. RNAcentral describes it as "long non-coding RNA (VRAD_LNC001170)". Lineage: Eukaryota; Viridiplantae; Streptophyta; Magnoliopsida; Fabales; Fabaceae. The record is from RNAcentral.
UUCUUUUGCUUUUGGAAUUCUUCAUAUGUGUGAUCUAUUGAGAAAUAUGUUAAUUUUUACAAAAGAAAAUGAAUUGAGAUGGCAAUGGAUGAAUGAAGGCAGGUGGGGAAGAUUUUUGCAUACGUGAUAGGAAUGUUAUUGUCUCUCUUAUAUCAUACAUUUUUUAUUUAAUUUUUUGUUUUUUUUAUUUUGCAAUUGAUAGUAUACUUUAAGAACAUUUACAUGUAUUGAUUUUCUGAAUUGAGGUAAUUCCUUUCUCCUACCAGUGUCUCGAAAUAUUUCUCUGCUAUGAGAAUGUUGGUGGGACUUGGAUUUCCAUCCCAAGGACCCUUUUAAGGAUGAUGGCAUGCCAGAUUUCAUUUAUUUAAUGGUUUUAAGCAUUUUGUUUUUCACUUGAUUAGUGGUAUUGUUUAAGAUUGCCCCGCAUGUGCACACUUCAUAAUAGUAACUCUUUAGAUUUGAAUUCAAAUCUGUUUACGUAAAGCACACUUUUCCACCAUUCUAAUUGUUGACAUAAAUACUGUUAACCUUGCUAAAAGCUCCUUCAGGUUAAAACUCUCCC